This 216-nucleotide ribosomal RNA is filed under the name Campeiostachys nutans. RNAcentral's name for it is "Elymus nutans partial small subunit ribosomal RNA". The stretch from base 54 to 216 matches the Rfam family "Eukaryotic small subunit ribosomal RNA", at positions 700 to 864 of the family's 1831-position model. The record is from RNAcentral. Lineage: Eukaryota; Viridiplantae; Streptophyta; Magnoliopsida; Poales; Poaceae.
GGACCAUCAUGUUGGUCGUGCCACUGGUAUGUACUGGUCUCACUGAUUCCCCCUUCCUGAUGAGCCGUAAUGCCAUUAAUUUGGUGUUGCGGGGAAUUUGGACUGUUACUUUGAAAAAAUUAGAGUGUUUAAAGCAAGCUAACGCUUGAAUACAUUAGCAUGGAAUAAUGAAAUAGGACGUUUGAUUCUAUUUUGUUGGUUUCUAGGAUCGACGUA